AUUGAACGCUGGCGGCAGGCCUAACACAUGCAAGUCGAGCGGAUGACGGGAGCUUGCUCCUUGAUUCAGCGGCGGACGGGUGAGUAAUGCCUAGGAAUCUGCCUGGUAGUGGGGGACAACGUUUCGAAAGGAACGCUAAUACCGCAUACGUCCUACGGGAGAAAGCAGGGGACCUUCGGGCCUUGCGCUAUCAGAUGAGCCUAGGUCGGAUUAGCUAGUUGGUGGGGUAAUGGCUCACCAAGGCGACGAUCCGUAACUGGUCUGAGAGGAUGAUCAGUCACACUGGAACUGAGACACGGUCCAGACUCCUACGGGAGGCGGCAGUGGGGAAUAUUGGACAAUGGGCGAAAGCCUGAUCCAGCCAUGCCGCGUGUGUGAAGAAGGUCUUCGGAUUGUAAAGCACUUUAAGUUGGGAGGAAGGGCAGUAAGCUAAUACCUUGCUGUUUUGACGUUACCGACAGAAUAAGCACCGGCUAACUCUGUGCCAGCCGCCGCCGUAA
This 500-nucleotide ribosomal RNA is filed under the name uncultured bacterium. RNAcentral's name for it is "partial 16S ribosomal RNA". It matches the Rfam family "Bacterial small subunit ribosomal RNA", at positions 30 to 523 of the family's 1533-position model. The record is from RNAcentral.